Alexandromys fortis (reed vole) is the source of this 291-nucleotide long non-coding RNA. RefSeq lists it as uncharacterized. Lineage: Eukaryota; Metazoa; Chordata; Mammalia; Rodentia; Cricetidae. The record is from RefSeq and is a predicted model, not a curated record. The transcript is spliced from 3 exons.
CAAAAACCUAGUGGAGAUCGUCCCCCUUUUCCCCUUUCUCCUACUCUCUGCCUCUUUGUCCAAAGGAUUAAAGAACAUGUAGCAGUAACACAGGAAGCUAAUCGGUCCAUAGCCUGCCCCAAGGCAACCCAUGGAGGAGAGUAAGCAAUAGAAGCUGAGAGUCUGCCCCAGAAGGAAGGAAACCUGGCUGCAAAGAACCAUGGCAGAAGAGGAAACCAGCAAAGAAGCCUCAGAGAUAAGAACAGCUGCUUGGAAGAGAUUUAGAUCAAUUUAGAUACCUGACAAAGACAC